AUGGUUGUAAAGCACUUUAAGCGAGGAGGAGGCUCUUCUGGUUAAUACCCAGAAUGAGUGGACGUUACUCGCAGAAUAAGCACCGGCUAACUCUGUGCCAGCAGCCGCGGUAAUACAGAGGGUGCAAGCGUUAAUCGGAUUUACUGGGCGUAAAGCGCGCGUAGGCGGCCAAUUAAGUCAAAUGUGAAAUCCCCGAGCUUAACUUGGGAAUUGCAUUCGAUACUGGUUGGCUAGAGUGUGGGAGAGGAUGGUAGAAUUCCAGGUGUAGCGGUGAAAUGCGUAGAGAUCUGGAGGAAUACCGAUGGCGAAGGCAGCCAUCUGGCCUAACACUGACGCUGAGGUGCGAAAGCAUGGGGAGCAAACAGGAUUAGAUACCCUGGUAGUCCAUGCCGUAAACGAUGUCUACUAGCCGUUGGGGCCUUUGAGGCUUUAGUGGCGCAGCUAACGCGAUAAGUAGACCGCCUGGGGAGUACGGUCGCAAGACUAAAACUCAAAUGAAUUGACGGGGGCCCGCACAAGCGGUGGAGCAUGUGGUUUAAUUCGAUGCAACGCGAAGAACCUUACCUGGCCUUGACAUAGUAGAAACUUUCCAGAGAUGGAUUGGUGCCUUCGGGAAUCUACAUACAGGUGCUGCAUGGCUGUCGUCAGCUCGUGUCGUGAGAUGUUGGGUUAAGUCCCGCAACGAGCGCAACCCUUUUCCUUACUUGCCAGCAUUUCGGAUGGGAACUUUAAGGAUACUGCCAGUGACAAACUGGAGGAAGGCGGGGACGACGUCAAGUCAUCAUGGCCCUUACGGCCAGGGCUACACACGUGCUACAAUGGUCGGUACAAAGGGUUGCUACCUAGCGAUAGGAUGCUAAUCUCAAAAAGCCGAUCGUAGUCCGGAUUGGAGUCUGCAACUCGACUCCAUGAAGUCGGAAUCGCUAGUAAUCGCGGAUCA
RNAcentral lists this ribosomal RNA (940 nucleotides) under Acinetobacter soli. RNAcentral describes it as "bacterial SSU rRNA". It matches the Rfam family "Bacterial small subunit ribosomal RNA", at positions 419 to 1351 of the family's 1533-position model. Lineage: Bacteria; Pseudomonadati; Pseudomonadota; Gammaproteobacteria; Moraxellales; Moraxellaceae. The record is from RNAcentral.